Molecule: long non-coding RNA, 215 nt
Filed under: Vigna radiata
Lineage: Eukaryota; Viridiplantae; Streptophyta; Magnoliopsida; Fabales; Fabaceae
Description: long non-coding RNA (VRAD_LNC002222)
Source: RNAcentral
GCGACUCUACUUGGGAAGUCGAAGAUGAGAUGCGAAGCUCUUACCCUCACCUAUUCUCUGGUAAACUUUAUUUUCGCGGACGAAAAUUUUAUUUGUUAGGUAAGGACCCCAUAACUUAUAAGGCCAUUGGGCCUCUGAAAGGGCAGCUAGGCCCAUCAGACCAAGACACUAGGGCCUUUGGGGGACUUAGCCAAAAGUCAGAAACUUCAUUUUUC